GAUGAACGCUGGCGGCGUGCCUAAUACAUGCAAGUCGAGCGAACAGACGAGGAGCUUGCUCCUCUGACGUUAGCGGCGGACGGGUGAGUAACACGUGGAUAACCUACCUAUAAGACUGGGAUAACUUCGGGAAACCGGAGCUAAUACCGGAUAAUAUAUUGAACCGCAUGGUUCAAUAGUGAAAGACGGUUUUGCUGUCACUUAUAGAUGGAUCCGCGCCGCAUUAGCUAGUUGGUAAGGUAACGGCUUACCAAGGCAACGAUGCGUAGCCGACCUGAGAGGGUGAUCGGCCACACUGGAACUGAGACACGGUCCAGACUCCUACGGGAGGCAGCAGUAGGGAAUCUUCCGCAAUGGGCGAGAGCCUGACGGAGCAACGCCGCGUGAGUGAUGAAGGUCUUCGGAUCGUAAAGCUCUGUUAUUAGGGAAGAACAAAUGUGUAAGUAACUAUGCACGUCUUGACGGUACCUAAUCAGAAAGCCACGGCUAACUACGUG
This 497-nucleotide ribosomal RNA is filed under the name uncultured bacterium. Its description in RNAcentral is "partial 16S ribosomal RNA". It matches the Rfam family "Bacterial small subunit ribosomal RNA", at positions 28 to 507 of the family's 1533-position model. The record is from RNAcentral.